CCGGGUGGCUAUGGCAAAAGGUCCCCACCCGAUCCCAUCCCGAACUCGGUCGUUAAGCUUUUUUGCGCUGAUGGUAGUCUGUCUUAAGGCACGCGAGAGUAAGUCGCUGCCCGGC
Molecule: ribosomal RNA, 115 nt
Filed under: Robiginitomaculum sp.
Lineage: Bacteria; Pseudomonadati; Pseudomonadota; Alphaproteobacteria; Maricaulales; Robiginitomaculaceae
Source: RNAcentral